UACGGGGGGAGCAAGCGUUGUUCGGAUUUACUGGGCGUAAAGGGCGCGUAGGCGGCACCGCAAGUCGACUGUGAAAUCUCCGGGCUUAACCCGGAAAGGUCAGCCGAUACUGCGGGGCUAGAGUGCAGAAGGGGCGACUGGAAUUCUCGGUGUAGCGGUGAAAUGCGUAGAUAUCGAGAGGAACACCUGCGGCGAAGGCGGGUUGCUGGGCUGACACUGACGCUGAUGCGCGAAAGCUAGGGGAGCGAACGGG
RNAcentral lists this ribosomal RNA (253 nucleotides) under uncultured bacterium. RNAcentral describes it as "partial 16S ribosomal RNA". It matches the Rfam family "Bacterial small subunit ribosomal RNA", at positions 524 to 776 of the family's 1533-position model. The record is from RNAcentral.